UUAAGGGUGACGAUAGCGGCGGGGAUACACCUCUUCCCAUUCCGAACAGAGAAGUUAAGCCCGCCAGCGCCGAUGGUACUGCAAGGGAGACUUUGUGGGAGAGUAGGUCGUCGCCCAUUUUU
RNAcentral lists this ribosomal RNA (122 nucleotides) under uncultured Rubrobacteraceae bacterium. The record is from RNAcentral. Lineage: Bacteria; Bacillati; Actinomycetota; Rubrobacteria; Rubrobacterales; Rubrobacteraceae.